CAGUCGCCACGGUAAUACGAGGGGGGCAAGCGUUGUUCGGAAUUAUUGGGCGUAAAGGGCGCGUAGGCGGUUUGGCAAGUUUGGUGUGAAAUCUUCGGGCUCAACUCGAAGUCUGCACCGAAAACUGCCGGGCUUGAGUAUGGGAGAGGUGAGUGGAAUUUCCGGUGUAGCGGUGAAAUGCGUAGAUAUCGGAAGGAACACCUGUGGCGAAAGCGGCUCACUGGACCAUUACUGACGCUGAGGCGCGAAAGCUAGGGGAGCAAACAGGAUUAGAUACCCCUGUAGUCCCUGUCUCUUAUAA
This 301-nucleotide ribosomal RNA is filed under the name uncultured bacterium. RNAcentral describes it as "partial 16S ribosomal RNA". It matches the Rfam family "Bacterial small subunit ribosomal RNA", at positions 509 to 809 of the family's 1533-position model. The record is from RNAcentral.